AUGGUCAACAUGUAUCUUUCUGUCACUACAUUUUGCUCUAAUCGUUGCCUGAUCCUCCCUAUGGCAGUUGGAAUUGCCAUCGGGGUGACCAUACUGGUUGUGGCCCUGUUGGUUGCUCUGGUCUUUGCUGCCAGGCGGAAGUCAAACCUUGUGGAGAGACUGCGGAGCAACUUACCCAGCAUGCCCAGUAUGCCACAAAUGCCUAAGUUCUCUGGCCUCAGGAAUGGAGUCCCUGGAAAUGGUUUGCAAACAGAAGACAGUGAAACACUGGAGAACUCUGAGGCGGUUCCCUGUACGUCAGUGUGGACUGUUGACCCCGUGACAAAAAGCUUUGAGAACCCUGCAUAUGAGGCAGAAGAACCCCCGGCCUCCAACAGCAUCCCGGGAAGCAAGUCGGCUCCUCCAGACACAAACGAGGACAACAUUAACAAUCCUCUAUAUGUGGAGGAGGCUCCACCUGUGGAUGAUCCGACCCUAAAUGCAGCAAAAUCCAGCCAGGUUGGUUUCUGCAAGUUUGACAAAACACGUUGA
Molecule: long non-coding RNA, 531 nt
Filed under: Oryzias sinensis (Chinese medaka)
Lineage: Eukaryota; Metazoa; Chordata; Actinopteri; Beloniformes; Adrianichthyidae
Description: lncRNA (ENSOSIG00000008059.1)
Source: RNAcentral